UCAUGGCCUUUAUAUCCUGGGCUACACACACGCUACAAUGGCAGAUACAAUAGGUUGCGAACCGCGAGGUGGAGCCGAAUCCUCAAAGUCUGUCUCAGUUCAGAUUGUAGGCUGCAACUCGCCUGCAUGAAGUUGGAGUUGCUAGUAAACGCAGGUCAGCUAUACUGCGUUGAAUACGUUCCCGGGGCUU
This 190-nucleotide ribosomal RNA is filed under the name uncultured Leptolinea sp. Its description in RNAcentral is "partial 16S ribosomal RNA". It matches the Rfam family "Bacterial small subunit ribosomal RNA", at positions 1193 to 1382 of the family's 1533-position model. Lineage: Bacteria; Bacillati; Chloroflexota; Anaerolineae; Anaerolineales; Anaerolineaceae. The record is from RNAcentral.